Molecule: small RNA, 232 nt
Filed under: Pongo abelii (Sumatran orangutan)
Lineage: Eukaryota; Metazoa; Chordata; Mammalia; Primates; Hominidae
Description: processed transcript
Source: RNAcentral
AGGUAGAAGUGGUUUGCCAUCUGGCCGGGUGCGCGCUCAGGUCUGGCUCCCCUUUCGAGAGGUGAAUUUACAACCCAAGAAGCAUUACUCAGCAGGGAGAGUCCCGUAUUCUCAGAGUAAAAGUUGUUUCUGGAAUUGAUCUCGCCAAAAAGGACAUCUUUGGAGCCAGUGAUCCGUACGUGAAACUUUCAUUGUACGUAGCGGAUGAGAAUAGAGAACUUGCUUUGGUCCA